UAUUAUGGCAAUAUUUAAUCACUUGUACAUUUUAAUUGUAUACAUAAUUCAACAAAGCUAAGCAGGGCUGAGCCUGGUCAAUACCUGGAUAGGAGACCACAUGGGAAAACUAGGUUGCUGUUGGAA
This 126-nucleotide ribosomal RNA is filed under the name Danio rerio (zebrafish). Lineage: Eukaryota; Metazoa; Chordata; Actinopteri; Cypriniformes; Danionidae. The record is from RNAcentral.